UCCUUGCACAUGGCCUUCGAGCUGUUAAAACUGGGCCACCCGCGAACUAGAGUGGGGGACCGGUCGACUAAUACAUCGUAACGGGUCCAGAAAAGGGGGAUAACCUAACGAAAGUGCCGCUAAUACCGUAUACGAUCUGCGGAUAAUACCGGGGGAUGCACCAGUAAAAGCUUUUGGCGAACUACCGUCGCAUGCGAUCCAUGAGUCUAUGUAUGCUGCACCUGCUCGUUAUUGGAGCGGCUGAUGUCUGAUUAACUACUGGGUGAGGUAGUGGCUUACCAUCGCGACGAUCAGUAACUGGUCUGACAAGA
RNAcentral lists this ribosomal RNA (311 nucleotides) under uncultured bacterium. RNAcentral's name for it is "partial 16S ribosomal RNA". The record is from RNAcentral.